RNAcentral lists this ribosomal RNA (254 nucleotides) under uncultured bacterium. RNAcentral describes it as "partial 16S ribosomal RNA". It matches the Rfam family "Bacterial small subunit ribosomal RNA", at positions 524 to 776 of the family's 1533-position model. The record is from RNAcentral.
UACGUAGGGUGCAAGCGUUAAUCGGAAUUACUGGGCGUAAAGCGUGCGCAGGCGGUUUUGUAAGUCUGUCGUGAAAGCCCCGGGCUCAACCUGGGAAUGGCGAUGGAGACUGCAAGGCUAGAGUGUGUCAGAGGGGGGUAGAAUUCCGACGUGUGAGCAGUGAAAUGCGUAGAUAUGCGGAGGAACACCGAUGGCGAAGGCAAUCCCUGGGCCUGCACUGACGCUCAGGCGCGAUAGCGUGGGGAGCGAACAGG